RNAcentral lists this ribosomal RNA (448 nucleotides) under uncultured bacterium. RNAcentral describes it as "partial 16S ribosomal RNA". It matches the Rfam family "Bacterial small subunit ribosomal RNA", at positions 330 to 794 of the family's 1533-position model. The record is from RNAcentral.
CCCAGACUCCUACGGGAGGCAGCAGUGGGGGAUAUUGCACAAUGGGGGGAACCCUGAUGCAGCGACGCCGCGUGGGUGAAGGAGCGUUUCGGCGCGUAAAGCCCUAUCGGCAGGGAAGAAGGAGGACGGUACCUGACUAAGAAGCCCCGGCUAACUACGUGCCAGCAGCCGCGGUAAUACGUAGGGGGCAAGCGUUAUCCGGAUUUACUGGGUGUAAAGGGGGCGCAGACGGCAGCGCAAGCCAGGAGUGAAAGCCCGGGGCCCAACCCCGGGACUGCUCUUGGAACUGCGCGGCUGGAGUGCAGGAGGGGCAGGCGGAAUUCCUGGUGUAGCGGUGAAAUGCGUAGAUAUCAGGAGGAACACCGGUGGCGAAGGCGGCCUGCUGGACUGCGACUGACGUUGAGGCCCGAAAGCGUGGGGAGCAAACAGGAUUAGAUACCCUAGUAAU